AUUGAACGCUGGCGGCAGGCCUAACACAUGCAAGUCGAACGAGAGGCGGACGGGUGAGUAAUGUCUGGGAAUAUGCCUGAUGGAGGGGGAUAACUACUGGAAACGGUAGCUACUACCGCAUACUAUCGGAUGUUCCCAGAUGGGAUUAGCUAGUAGGUGGGGUAAAGGCUCACCUAGGCGCCGAUCCCUAGCUGGUCUGAGAGGAUGACCAGCCACACUGGAACUGAGACACGGUCCAGACUCCUACGGGAGGCAGCAGUGGGGAAUAUUGCACAAUGGGCGCAAGCCUGAUGCAGCCAUGCCGCGUGUAUGAAGAAGGCCUUAGGGUUGUAAAGUACUUUCAGCGGGGAGGCGUUACCCGCAGAAGAAGCACCGGCUAACUCCGUGCCAGCAGCCGCGGUAAUUC
This 406-nucleotide ribosomal RNA is filed under the name uncultured bacterium. RNAcentral's name for it is "partial 16S ribosomal RNA". It matches the Rfam family "Bacterial small subunit ribosomal RNA", at positions 30 to 526 of the family's 1533-position model. The record is from RNAcentral.